UUCCGCGGUAAUUUGACCGUGCGAAGGUAGCAUAGUCAGUAGUCUUUUAAUUGAAGGCUUGAAUGAAAGGUUGGACGAGGGAUGAGCUGUCUCCUUUAUGUAAUUUGAAUUUAACUUUUGAGUGAAAAGGCUCAAAUUAUUUAGUGGGACGAUAAGACCCUAUAAAACUUUAUAUAAGUUUAAUUUGGCUUACAAUUUGAGUGAAAAGUAGCUUUAUUAGGUUUAUAUUUCGUUGGGGAGAUGUAGAUAUAAUGUGUAACUGUCUAUUUAAUUUAAUAAUUAUAAUUAGUGUGUGAUCCUUCUUUGUGGAUUAAAAGUAUAAGUUACUUUAGGGAUAACAGCGUGAUUUUCUUUGAGAGUUCUUAUCGACAAGAGUAGUUGCGACCUCGAUGUUGAAUUAAAAUUUCAGUUAGGUGUAGCCGUCUAGCUGGUAGGC
RNAcentral lists this ribosomal RNA (436 nucleotides) under Macrobrachium inflatum. Its description in RNAcentral is "partial 16S ribosomal RNA". It matches the Rfam family "Bacterial large subunit ribosomal RNA", at positions 1929 to 2577 of the family's 2925-position model. Lineage: Eukaryota; Metazoa; Arthropoda; Malacostraca; Decapoda; Palaemonidae. The record is from RNAcentral.